GUCAAGACAAAUAGAGAUGAAGAAACUGAGGCCUCAAAAAGGUUAAUGAAUUACCUAAUGUCAAAUUGUAGGGGCAUUUGCAUAUUAGCAUGGUAUCUGAAGCCUUCGGUGCAGAUUUAGAGGGGAGUCCAUUUCUUACCAUGAGACAAUGUGGGGAACUCAAUG
Lemur catta (Ring-tailed lemur) is the source of this 165-nucleotide long non-coding RNA. RefSeq lists it as uncharacterized. Lineage: Eukaryota; Metazoa; Chordata; Mammalia; Primates; Lemuridae. The record is from RefSeq and is a predicted model, not a curated record. The transcript is spliced from 3 exons.